GUCCGAGCGAGGAUGUGCGGCACCGUUACUCUGGCGAGAACGGGAAGGGAUGAGAACGGCAGGACCAGCAAGCAAGAGAGGUCAAAAUUCCCCACCGCACCAUCUCCCGCGGGAGGCCUGGAAGCCCUUGGCCUCCAGCCGAAGCC
Molecule: long non-coding RNA, 146 nt
Filed under: Chinchilla lanigera (long-tailed chinchilla)
Lineage: Eukaryota; Metazoa; Chordata; Mammalia; Rodentia; Chinchillidae
Description: lncRNA (ENSCLAG00000026505.1)
Source: RNAcentral